CGAAUUCGCCCUUAGAGUUUGAUCCUGGCUCAGGACGAACGCUGGCGGCGUGCUUAACACAUGCAAGUCGAACGGGAUUUAGUAAACAGAAGCCUCGGUGGAAGAUUACUAAUGAGAGUGGCGAACGGGUGAGUAACGCGUGAGCAACCUGCCUAUGACAGUGGGAUAGCCUCGGGAAACCGGGAUUAAUACCGCAUAAAAUCGUAGAAACACAUGUUUUAACGGUCAAAGAUUUAUCGGUCAUAGAUGGGCUCGCGUCUGAUUAGCUAGUUGGUGAGAUAACAGCCCACCAAGGCGACGAUCAGUAGCCGGUCUGAGAGGAUGAACGGCCACAUUGGAACUGAGACACGGUCCAAACUCCUACGGGAGGCAGCAGAAGGG
This 381-nucleotide ribosomal RNA is filed under the name uncultured Finegoldia sp. RNAcentral describes it as "bacterial SSU rRNA". It matches the Rfam family "Bacterial small subunit ribosomal RNA", at positions 1 to 359 of the family's 1533-position model. Lineage: Bacteria; Bacillati; Bacillota; Tissierellia; Tissierellales; Peptoniphilaceae. The record is from RNAcentral.